This 456-nucleotide ribosomal RNA is filed under the name uncultured bacterium. RNAcentral describes it as "bacterial SSU rRNA". It matches the Rfam family "Bacterial small subunit ribosomal RNA", at positions 335 to 784 of the family's 1533-position model. The record is from RNAcentral.
ACUCCUACGGGAGGCAGCAGUAGGGAAUCUUCCACAAUGGGCGCAAGCCUGAUGGAGCAACACCGCGUGAGUGAAGAAGGGUUUCGGCUCGUAAAGCUCUGUUGUUAAAGAAGAACACGUAUGAGAGUAACUGUUCAUACGUUGACGGUAUUUAACCAGAAAGUCACGGCUAACUACGUGCCAGCAGCUGUGGUAAUACGUAGGUGGCAAGCGUUAUCCGGAUUUAUUGGGCGUAAAGAGAGUGCAGGCGGUUUUCUAAGUCUGAUGUGAAAGCCUUCGGCUUAACCGGAGAAGUGCAUCGGAAACUGGAUAACUUGAGUGCAGAAGAGGUAGUGGAACUCCAUGUGUAGCGGUGGAAUGCGUAGAUAUAUGGAAGAACACCAGUGGCGAAGGCGGCUACCUGGUCUGCAACUGACGCUGAGACUCGAAAGCAUGGGUAGCGAACAGGAUUAGAUA